RNAcentral lists this unclassified non-coding RNA (191 nucleotides) under Glomus sp. RNAcentral describes it as "partial contains 5.8S ribosomal RNA and internal transcribed spacer 2". The stretch from base 1 to 65 matches the Rfam family "5.8S ribosomal RNA", at positions 84 to 154 of the family's 154-position model. The record is from RNAcentral. Lineage: Eukaryota; Fungi; Glomeromycota; Glomeromycetes; Glomerales; Glomeraceae.
GUGAAUCAUCAAAUCUUUGAACGCAAAUUGCACUCUCUUCGGAGAGUAUGCCUGUUUGAGGGUCAGCCUAAAAAAAAACCAACAAAGCGGUUUUUUCGCGGUGACUUUCGUCGGAAAUGGGUUAAUCUUAAACAUUUGGGUUUUAAUCGGCUAAAAUUUUUAUUUACAAUUCCUUGACCUUUUCUAAAAUU